AUCCUUCUUUGCCUGCUUGCACUUACUUGCCAGAACAUCUGUUGGAAUCUACUUCUAGAGAAGACCAGGUGAAACAACUAGCCUCAAGGGACUGAGUAAUUACUAGACUAUUGGACUUCCCAUCCACAGCUGCCCAUUAGUUGGACUAUAGACUAACUUCUUCACUUGUUCGUUGAACAGGAAGAGAAGAUGUUGGAAUGGAAAGUUUUAAACAAAUACUACCUACCUGACUUUGACUCAGCGAAGAUCCCGAAACUCAAGCUACCCAAGGACCUGCAGUAUGUGGUGCAGCUGAUGGCCCCCUUCAUGAGGUGUAAGACUUGUGGACAAUGCAUCCACAAGGGGAACAAGUUCAACACACAAAAGGAAACAGUCCAGAACGAGGCAUACCUGGGCCUGCCAAUCUUCCGAUUGUACAUCAAGUGCAUGUGCUGCUUGGCCGAGAUCACCUUCAAGACAGACCAGAGAACAUGGACUACACUAUGGAGCAAGGAGCCAUGCGCAACUUCAGGCCGGGAAGCUUCUGGAGGAGGAGAAGCUUGUGCAGAAGGAGCAAGAGGAUGAGGAACUGAACAACCCCAUGAAGGCAUGUGGACUUCGAGGCCAUGCUGUGGCAACACCACCUGUUUCAGGAGCAGUGGCGACAGCAGCAGGAGGAGGAAGAAGAGCGGGAGACAGCGGCCUUGCUGGAGGAGGCUUGCCAUCAAAGGCUUCCGGAGGACUCCGACUCCAAGGAUGAGGCUCCACCUUCCCGACCACAGGCAGCUGCAAGACCUAACCCCACAGCCAUCCUCGAUGAGGUACCAAAGACCAAGAGGAAAAACGGAGACCCUGUGCAGCAGAGCACAGUUGGCAGGUUUGUUUGUGCCAGAGAAGGUAAAGACGGAGGUCAACGGGGGCUCAGAGCAGAUCCGGGUGUCCACCGCUGGUGCCCCGAGAGCAGGAAGGCGGCCAACCCUACACCCCAGACACCUGGUGCCUCCUCCCUGAACACAGCGAGGGCAGAGACAGCUAUCACUGAGGCACACCCUGGCAUCAUAGACCCAAGAAAUGAGAUGGGAUCAAGGAAGCAUCCUCAGCAAAGGCCUCAGGACCAUUUCUGCCAUGGGUCCUGGCAGGGUGUGGAGAAGCAAUGUCCCCAGGCACCCCAGGACAGACAGCCUGGUCCACUCCUUCAGUCCUUGAGUUCUGUGGAGCCUGUUGGCCGGUCCCUUCCUACCACAGAUCUGAACACUGACAUGAAACAGGGGACAGUGACAAUGGGCACCAUCUCCCAACCAUACACAAGGUCGGGGGCUCCACCUGCAUGCAAGACAGUAGUACUGUAAAAAAGAAUAGAAAAUCAAUUGAAAAACAAACAACAAAAAAGCAGAGUUACCCAUUAUGCCUUAAGCCAUGUUGGGUGCCACCUGUAGGCAUGGAUUUUUUGCAACCUACUUUUAAUAGGGUUCAACCUCUCCUCUAGCCCACCACCCAGCAAGAGGUAGUGGAAGACAAAAGUUAUUAGAAUAGGGGGAAAGUGGACUUGUUCAGCAAUAGUUCUUUAGGGACAAGCUCGAUCUUUUUUGGUAGCAGUUCAGUCCUAUAGCAAACGCCAAAUACAACUCAGCAGCUACAGUCCAGUCCUCUAGGCAGGCAGACACCUGGCAGCUGUAGAUAAAUCCUGAAGAAGCUGCCAGGCUCUUCAUCUGGCCUUAGGAGAGGCUACAGAGGUGGCAAGCUGCUGCAGGAACCUCACAAGCCGUUCUUGGGUGAGUUUCUUUCAAUGGCAGCAUUAUCACAAGCUCAGCUCAACAGCACUGUGUAAGGUGAACCAAUGCAUGCUUGUCUUUAGCGAAGAAUAGUGAGGCAAACCAAACCAAGCCAAACCAAGGUUCACUGCUUGUCUCCCACUGUCUGUGGGGGCAUAUUUAUACUCUUUCGUCAAGUGUCCUUUCAUGUGUUUGCCUUAGCAAGACAUCCUUUCACCUGUGUGCCCCAGCAAAACAUCAUUUGACAUAACUAACUUUCCAAAGAACUAGAAGAUUCCAGUUUAUGUGGGUAUGGGGUUGGGGAUUGGGAGGGGAUAGUUGGUGAGUGUCAUCAGAGUGAAAGUUUCCCCAUCUUUGAGGACUUUUACCAGUCAAACAAGAUAAAAGGGGUAGUGUUAAUAGGUCAGAACGGUACCUGGCAUAUGGUACUAUGAAGUAAGUAGUACUUAAUUUAUUUUGUCAUUAUCAUUGGUGGCAGAGCUAUCUGUCUUGUAGUAUCGUUGUGAGCAGAGUAUUAAAUGAAAUGAAGUAAUAAAGUUCUUAGCAGAUACCCUGAGACACAAGACUGAGCUGGGAUUAGUUCCUGCCCUCCUUCUGAGUGUUCCUCCCCAAUCCAGUCCACUCCAUGAAGCUUUCCCUGUUUCAUGCUCCCUGGCUCAAAACAUGGAGACAUUUUUCUUAUUUUGGGACCUCAUGGGUGAUGCAUGACUACCAUGUAUCCAGGUUGUUGUGGGAGACCUGACUUCUUCACACUGAGUUACAGGGAAGCAAGUAAGCUUGCCUAGAGGUAGCAUCCCAGACUAUAAACGGUGAAGCUGAGCUCCCUGUGCUGGUUUAGAUGAGAAUAGCCCCAUAUGCUUGUAUGGAUGAAUAUUUGGUCCCAAAUUAGUGAACUGUUUUAGGAGGAUUAGGAGGUGUCUCCUUGUUGGAGGAGGUAUGUCAAUGGGAGUAGGCUUUGGGUUUUCAAAAACCCAUGCCUAGUACUACCUGAGGAUCCAGUUAUACCACUCUCCUGGGCAUAUACCCAGAAGAUGUUCCAACUCGUAAUAUGGACACAUGCUCCGCUAUGUUCAUAGCAGCCUUAUUUAUAAUAGCCAGAAGCUGGAAAGAACCCAGAUGUCCCUCAACAGAGGAAUGGAUACAGAAACUGUGGUACAUUUACACAAUGGAGUACUACGCAGCUAUUAAAAACAAUGAAUUCAUGAAGUUCUUAGGCAAAUGGAUUGAACUAGAAAAUAUCAUCCUG
Molecule: long non-coding RNA, 2997 nt
Filed under: Mus pahari (shrew mouse)
Lineage: Eukaryota; Metazoa; Chordata; Mammalia; Rodentia; Muridae
Description: predicted gene 7598 (MGP_PahariEiJ_G0006480.1)
Source: RNAcentral